AACGAACGCUGGCGGCGGGCCUCAUACAUGCAAGUCGAGCGCGAAAGUCCGCAAGGAUGAGUAAAGCGGCGCACGGGUGCCUAACACGUGGGUAAUCUACCUUCGAGACGAGAAUAACCUGUCGAAAGACGGGCUAAUACUCGAUACGUUUGCGGGUUCAUAAUGUUCCUGCAAAGAAAGUUGCAGCAAUGUAACACUCUUAGAUGAGCCUGCGUCCCAUUAGCUAGUUGGCGGGGUAACGGCCCACCAAGGCUACGAUGGGUAGCUGGUCUGAGAGGAUGAUCAGCCACACUGGAACUGAAACACGGUCCAGACUCCUACGGGAGGCAGCAGUAGGGAAUAUUGCGCAAUGGGGGAAACCCUGACGCAGCCACGCCGCGUGAGUGAGGAAGGCCUUCGGGUUGUAAAGCUCUGUCACCUGGGAAAAACAAGCAGAUGUAACAGUCUGCCCUGAUUGUACCAGGGGAGGAAGCACCGGCUAACUCUGUGCCAGCAGCCGCGGUAA
This 505-nucleotide ribosomal RNA is filed under the name uncultured bacterium. Its description in RNAcentral is "partial 16S ribosomal RNA". It matches the Rfam family "Bacterial small subunit ribosomal RNA", at positions 29 to 523 of the family's 1533-position model. The record is from RNAcentral.